GCCUGUGUAGCUGAAUUGGUGGAGCGUUACGCUUUUAACGACUUUUAAACGAACAGGGUUCGACUCCCUGCGCAGGCA
Molecule: transfer RNA, 78 nt
Filed under: Trichinella nelsoni
Lineage: Eukaryota; Metazoa; Nematoda; Enoplea; Trichinellida; Trichinellidae
Rfam family: tRNA
About the family: Transfer RNA (tRNA) molecules are approximately 80 nucleotides in length. Their secondary structure includes four short double-helical elements and three loops (D, anti-codon, and T loops). Further hydrogen bonds mediate the characteristic L-shaped molecular structure. tRNAs have two regions of fundamental functional importance: the anti-codon, which is responsible for specific mRNA codon recognition, and the 3' end, to which the tRNAs corresponding amino acid is attached (by aminoacyl-tRNA synthetases). tRNAs cope with the degeneracy of the genetic code in two manners: having more than one tRNA (with a specific anti-codon) for a particular amino acid; and 'wobble' base-pairing, i.e. permitting non-standard base-pairing at the 3rd anti-codon position.
Source: Rfam by way of RNAcentral